AAACAACUUCUCAGCAAUUCUGGCAUUAUGUUGACUUGGUUGGAGGAGCAGAGAGAGCUGGCCUCUCAUUCAGGCCUUGCUGUAAAAGAGGGACAGGGAGACAGUACGGCUUAAACAACCAGAGAUUGGAAGCACUGAAAAGAGCAUAGGCAAAGGGCAGGGAGGAGUAGCUGAGAUGGAGGCCCACCAAGAGGACUGACAUUUUGUACUGCUGUGAGAUGGGAAAACGUGUGACAUUUUUAUUCAUGGUGGCGUACGCCCUUGUAAUGAUCAGCCCUGGUCGAUGUGCUUACUGCAGCAGCCCCGAGCCCUCGGAGAACAAACAAGAACUGGAGGUGCCAGCAGUUCGGCUGCCUUAUUAAACUCCACCAGGAUUCUAACGAAGAGCAACCGCUGGAAAAUCUCACUGUCAAAUCCUCAAGGACAUUGUCAACAUGGAACUAACUACAUAUAUUUUUCAUUUAAAAUACUGGAAAAUACAGCAAUGUGAUUUUAAAUAUAAAGAAAAAAAGUCACACUUUUCAUCUGUUUUCUUUUUUAACCGGUCUUUUUGUCAGUUCUACACUGCGCUUUCUGGCGGCCUGAUACUGGGAUUCAAACCAAGUACACUGCUCAAAUGAUAUGAUUUAAAACGUUGGAAAACGUGUAUAGCCCUUAUUAUCUAUU
Molecule: non-coding RNA, 666 nt
Organism: Meleagris gallopavo (turkey)
Lineage: Eukaryota; Metazoa; Chordata; Aves; Galliformes; Phasianidae
Source: RefSeq, a predicted model, not a curated record